This 71-nucleotide transfer RNA is filed under the name Myotis lucifugus (little brown bat). It matches the Rfam family "tRNA". Rfam says of the family: Transfer RNA (tRNA) molecules are approximately 80 nucleotides in length. Their secondary structure includes four short double-helical elements and three loops (D, anti-codon, and T loops). Lineage: Eukaryota; Metazoa; Chordata; Mammalia; Chiroptera; Vespertilionidae. The record is from Rfam by way of RNAcentral.
GCCAGGAUAGCUCAGUGGUUGAGCAUCAACCCGUGAACCAGGAGAUCAUGGUUCAAAUCCUGGUCAGGGCA